CUGGGGUCUGCGGUGCUGCACGUGAAUGCCGGCCCCGUGUGGAGCUGCGGAGAGGCCGCGGCGGGUUGCCGAUCGCCGGGUGCGGUGCCAAUAGACAGCCUUUAGUCCCGGAGUGAGCGAGGAGCCUACUGCCCCCACCGUCCCCGGCUGUGUAUGAUCGUAUUUCCCCUCCUCAUUCGCCGAAGAUUUUCAAUGAGAAGGAGCGUCCUAGCGCCACGCUCGUUCAGUCCCUGCAUGCUAGACAGCAUCCGAGCCCCGAUCUAACCCCCAUGUCUCUCCCUAGACGCCCCUCUUUUUCUCUGAGUGCUCCUGCGGCAGGCAGUGCUCUCGGUCUGCUCUUUCACACCCUAACUGGGGCUAAUGAUAUGCCAGCGUUUGUCUUGAAGCUUGCUUUCCUGUUUGUGAGGUACUUCGCCAUCCUGCCAGGAGAGGUGCUGGAGAAGCACAAGCACAGUGCAAGGGCCUGCUGAGGAGAGCUGCAGUCCAUGAACACAUGUCUUCUUGUCUCUGUAGCAACAGGACUUGCUAGCCCACCCCUAUCCGUGCCAUCUAAUAAUGAGUCCAGUGGGAAAAGGCUGCUGUGCUUUGGAAGCCCACGACAACCUCCUGGCUGGGAAGACUGAAUUCUAAAGCAUCUGAGCCAGCCUGCCUGCAGCUGCCCAGCAGUGCUCCACGUGACCCCAGUAAAGUGAGCUCAUCUGACCCCGGUAAGAGCACUAGGAUUGGAAGAGACCUCAGGGAAGGAUCCCAGUUACUGGCCAGCUACACAG
Molecule: long non-coding RNA, 770 nt
Organism: Alligator sinensis (Chinese alligator)
Lineage: Eukaryota; Metazoa; Chordata; Crocodylia; Alligatoridae
Exons: 3
Source: RefSeq, a predicted model, not a curated record